Molecule: ribosomal RNA, 1536 nt
Filed under: Klebsiella pneumoniae
Lineage: Bacteria; Pseudomonadati; Pseudomonadota; Gammaproteobacteria; Enterobacterales; Enterobacteriaceae
Description: bacterial SSU rRNA
Rfam family: Bacterial small subunit ribosomal RNA
Source: RNAcentral
AAAUUGAAGAGUUUGAUCAUGGCUCAGAUUGAACGCUGGCGGCAGGCCUAACACAUGCAAGUCGAGCGGUAGCACAGAGAGCUUGCUCUCGGGUGACGAGCGGCGGACGGGUGAGUAAUGUCUGGGAAACUGCCUGAUGGAGGGGAUAACUACUGGAAACGGUAGCUAAUACCGCAUAAUGUCGCAAGACCAAAGUGGGGGACCUUCGGGCCUCAUGCCAUCAGAUGUGCCCAGAUGGGAUUAGCUAGGUGGGGUAACGGCUCACCUAGGCGACGAUCCCUAGCUGGUCUGAGAGGAUGACCAGCCACACUGGAACUGAGACACGGUCCAGACUCCUACGGGAGGCAGCAGUGGGGAAUAUUGCACAAUGGGCGCAAGCCUGAUGCAGCCAUGCCGCGUGUGAAGAAGGCCUUCGGGUUGUAAAGCACUUUCAGCGGGGAGGAAGGCGUAAGGUUAAUAACCUUGCGAUUGACGUUACCCGCAGAAGAAGCACCGGCUAACUCCGUGCCAGCAGCCGCGGUAAUACGGAGGGUGCAAGCGUUAAUCGGAAUUACUGGGCGUAAAGCGCACGCAGGCGGUCUGUCAAGUCGGAUGUGAAAUCCCCGGGCUCAACCUGGGAACUGCAUUCGAAACUGGCAGGCUAGAGUCUUGUAGAGGGGGUAGAAUUCCAGGUGUAGCGGUGAAAUGCGUAGAGAUCUGGAGGAAUACCGGUGGCGAAGGCGGCCCCCUGGACAAAGACUGACGCUCAGGUGCGAAAGCGUGGGGAGCAAACAGGAUUAGAUACCCUGGUAGUCCACGCCGUAAACGAUGUCGAUUUGGAGGUUGUGCCCUUGAGGCGUGGCUUCCGGAGCUAACGCGUUAAAUCGACCGCCUGGGGAGUACGGCCGCAAGGUUAAAACUCAAAUGAAUUGACGGGGCCCGCACAAGCGGUGGAGCAUGUGGUUUAAUUCGAUGCAACGCGAAGAACCUUACCUGGUCUUGACAUCCACAGAACUUUCCAGAGAUGGAUUGGUGCCUUCGGGAACUGUGAGACAGGUGCUGCAUGGCUGUCGUCAGCUCGUGUUGUGAAAUGUUGGGUUAAGUCCCGCAACGAGCGCAACCCUUAUCCUUUGUUGCCAGCGGUCCGGCCGGGAACUCAAAGGAGACUGCCAGUGAUAAACUGGAGGAAGGUGGGGAUGACGUCAAGUCAUCAUGGCCUUACGACCAGGGCUACACACGUGCUACAAUGGCAUAUACAAAGAGAAGCGACCUCGCGAGAGCAAGCGGACCUCAUAAAGUAUGUCGUAGUCCGGAUUGGAGUCUGCAACUCGACUCCAUGAAGUCGGAAUCGCUAGUAAUCGUAGAUCAGAAUGCUACGGUGAAUACGUUCCCGGGCCUUGUACACCGCCCGUCACACCAUGGGAGUGGGUUGCAAAGAAGUAGGUAGCUUAACCUUCGGGAGGGCGCUUACCACUUUGUGAUUCAUGACUGGGGUGAAGUCGUAACAAGGUAACCGUAGGGGAACCUGCGGUUGGAUCACCUCCUUACCUUAAAGAA